RNAcentral lists this ribosomal RNA (532 nucleotides) under uncultured bacterium. RNAcentral's name for it is "bacterial SSU rRNA". It matches the Rfam family "Bacterial small subunit ribosomal RNA", at positions 977 to 1509 of the family's 1533-position model. The record is from RNAcentral.
GGUCUUGACAUCCCCUUGACAACUCCAGAGAUGGAGCGUUCCCUUCGGGGACAAGGUGACAGGUGGUGCAUGGUUGUCGUCAGCUCGUGUCGUGAGAUGUUGGGUUAAGUCCCGCAACGAGCGCAACCCUUAUUACUAGUUGCCAGCAUUCAGUUGGGCACUCUAGUGAGACUGCCGGUGACAAACCGGAGGAAGGUGGGGAUGACGUCAAAUCAUCAUGCCCCUUAUGACCUGGGCUACACACGUGCUACAAUGGCGUAUACAACGAGUUGCCAACCCGCGAGGGUGAGCUAAUCUCUUAAAGUACGUCUCAGUUCGGAUUGUAGGCUGCAACUCGCCUACAUGAAGUCGGAAUCGCUAGUAAUCGCGGAUCAGCACGCCGCGGUGAAUACGUUCCCGGGUCUUGUACACACCGCCCGUCACACCAUGAGAGUUUGUAACACCCAAAGCCGGUGGGGUAACCUUCGGGAGCCAGCCGUCUAAGGUGGGACAGAUGAUUAGGGUGAAGUCGUAACAAGGUAAGCGUAGCGAG